AAAAAUCACAAACCAGAAAUGAUAAAUGAUAAAAAUGCAAACUCAACACCAAAAUGUCAAGCAAAGUGUCUAGUUUCAUCAUGCAAAACUUCAGAUUCAUUGGAUCAACAACCAUCAUUUCACAAAUGCAUAAGCAAGGAAAUGUCCAAUAUGCACACAUGUACAAGAACCCUAGGCAAAAUAUUUAAUCAGCCAAGCACAACUUGAGUUAUCAUGAUGAUAAAAAAC
RNAcentral lists this long non-coding RNA (228 nucleotides) under Lathyrus oleraceus (garden pea). Its description in RNAcentral is "Pisum sativum (pea) long non-coding RNA (PSAT_LNC011041)". Lineage: Eukaryota; Viridiplantae; Streptophyta; Magnoliopsida; Fabales; Fabaceae. The record is from RNAcentral.